UUCACAAACUUUGUCACAGUUAUGACUGCGGAGCGUUCUCAGCUCAACAUGUUUGAGGAGCGCAGUAACAGACAGGCUGGCUGAAGUGGUUAUAAUGGGACACCGAGGCUGAGUUUAACGCGACACAGAAGCUGAGCUGACAGAUCAUACUAAACUGUAGCAUAAACGAGCAGAGAAGUUCAGCUUGGGGCAGAUUGAGAGGGACGUCGCAGUGCUAAAGGAUUUCGUUCUGAAAGGUGUUAUCGAAGAGUAAUGAUGUCCACAUUCACUAAAUGUAUCUAAGCUUCCAAGGUCAGGCGCAUACUCCCAAUCAGAGGCUGCAGGUCUAGCAGGAGAAGAAUCGAUGCAAAGUCACUGGAGACCCAUCUUGCUCUUUGUAUCCCCGCCACAGCAACGACACAAUGACCACAGCAUGAGAAUCACAAUGGGCCCCAUUCAUCAAUCAGACCCAGCUGAAGAAGAAAAUCUAUUCCCCAUCACUAUAUCAGUGUGUGUAAUGAUUCUAAAAACAAAUGGUAUGACCUUUAUUA
Long non-coding RNA from Plectropomus leopardus (leopard coralgrouper), 530 nucleotides. RefSeq lists it as uncharacterized. The record is from RefSeq and is a predicted model, not a curated record. NCBI's taxonomy places the organism in Eukaryota, Metazoa, Chordata, Actinopteri, Perciformes, Serranidae.